Molecule: transfer RNA, 68 nt
Filed under: Rhabdoblatta similsinuata
Lineage: Eukaryota; Metazoa; Arthropoda; Insecta; Blattodea; Blaberidae
Description: tRNA-Ser
Rfam family: tRNA
About the family: Transfer RNA (tRNA) molecules are approximately 80 nucleotides in length.
Source: RNAcentral
AGUUAAUAUCUUAAGAAAGAAUUAUGUUUUGAAAGCAUAUAAAAGAGGUUAAAUUCCUCUAUUAACUU